UACGUAGGUGGCAAGCGUUGUCCGGAAUUAUUGGGGCGUAAAGCGCGCGCAGGCGGCCUCUUAAGUCUGAUGUGAAAGCCCCCGGCUCAACCGGGGAGGGCCAUUGGAAACUGGGAGGCUUGAGUAUAGGAGAGAAGAGUGGAAUUCCACGUGUAGCGGUGAAAUGCGUAGAGAUGUGGAGGAACACCAGUGGCGAAGGCGACUCUUUGGCCUAUAACUGACGCUGAGGCGCGAAAGCGUGGGGAGCAAACAGG
RNAcentral lists this ribosomal RNA (254 nucleotides) under uncultured bacterium. Its description in RNAcentral is "partial 16S ribosomal RNA". It matches the Rfam family "Bacterial small subunit ribosomal RNA", at positions 524 to 776 of the family's 1533-position model. The record is from RNAcentral.